Long non-coding RNA from Oncorhynchus tshawytscha (Chinook salmon), 1939 nucleotides. The record is from Ensembl. NCBI's taxonomy places the organism in Eukaryota, Metazoa, Chordata, Actinopteri, Salmoniformes, Salmonidae.
AUGAACACGAGGGGAGACAGAGAGCUGGUUUCAAACGCAGGGCGCAGCAGGUGUUUAUUGAAAAGGACCACAGGAGGAGGCAGAUAGCUGGGUCCAGGGACAGGCAGAAGGUCAUACACAGGAGGAGGCAGAUAGCUGGGUCCAGGGACAGGCAGAAGGUUAUACACAUGGGUCCAAAGGCAGGGAAAAGGCUAGUAACGUAAUCCGGGAGAUCAGGCAAAUAGGUAGAUAGGCUAAAGUACAGGUAGGGAAUAGGCAAAUGAUCAUACAUGGGAGGAGUAAAUCAGAGGAAAGACAGAGCUCUGAAAGACGUAUGUCACAAAACAAACAAUACCUCACAGUGAUGGGGGGCAAAGAACUGAACUAAAUAGGGUGUGACAAUGAUAUACAGUUGUGUGAACAGGUGAUUAGAAUUCAUGUGAUUGGGAUCUGGAGAGUGAGCUGCGUUCAGGGGAUCUAGGUGUUUGAGAGUGUGAGCUGGAAAGUGAGCUGCGUUCAGGGGAUCUAUGUGUUUGAGUGUCAUAUCAUCAGACCUACUCCUAUCGGCAACAUGUAUUAAAACACCAUGAAAACAAUACAUUUCUGGACGUGUGGUCCUCGGCCUCCCAAUGGGGCUGGGGCCAGGGCUAAAGCAGGGGCCAAGAUAGUGGAUGGAGAACACACGGACCCCCUGAGGACUUAUGUGCCAUCGCUGCCCUCCUGUUACCGCUGCUGGAGGCUCCCGGAUGGAUAACGCCAACCACUCCGCUUUCUCCCUCUGUCCCUAUCUCUCUGUUUCUCUCUCUUUCUUUCAUCAUCCUGGAAUUAAAGUGUGACUAUGUUAAUAACCUGUCAGGUCAGAUAAAGAUUGCUACUGGUGACACUGAAACCCGGUACUACCUGUGUCAGAAUAUUUGAUAUAUAUAUGGUUAAAUUGAAAAAGAUUUGUAAUAUUGAUUUUGCGCGUGACUUAAAUAUGUCCUUUGGAAUGGAACUUGAGGCAGAAGAUUUUUCUGACUCUGGGCAGGCGACAAAGAUUCUGUACAAACGCAAACGUCGGAGAAGCAUAACGGAGCCUUUACAUUUUAGCUCUGAAACUGAGAUCUUCAUAAGUACAGAGGGUGCAGAUCAGACAUUGAGUGUGAAAAACAACAUCAUAGACUCUUCUCAGCGUUCCAUCAUCUCAGAUUCUGAUAUUUUAGACAGACGCAAACGUAGGAAUAGCUUAGAUAUUCCACCAGAUUUUGUAACAUGCACACUGGAAAAUAUUCAGUAUGUAUACUUUGAAGUUUUAUGUUUUCUGCAUACUUUGAAGCUACAUAGUCACACUUUAAACCAGAUAUAUCUAUUAAAGCCUUCAUGACGCCAUCAUAAUGCCUUCAUAAUGUCCUACACUACAUACAUAGAAGCUUCACAUAUCAUUUGUAAGCAAAUGUCAUGCUGGAAAAAGGAGGUGUGCAGAUGCGGAAGCAGAGAUGUGCCGACAGAAGCGAACUUUCGAUGCAUAAUUCUGUUUAAACUAACCUAACGGAUGGCGCAGAAGCUGCAAAAUUAGGCUUUAGAGAGGUGGAAGGUUGCUUGAUCAGUAGCCGGAAGGUUGCUGAUUCAAUCCACGGACAGGGUAUAAAAACAGAACUGUGGGAACUGUUGGUCUAUGAUUCCAGGUACUCCCUCCUGCCGUUGUGCCCUUGAGCAUGGGACUUAAACCCCAAAACUGCUCCCCAUCCAGGGGUGCUGCUCUGUAGCUUAUCAACUUAGCUGAUCAAUGAUUUGUGCAGCGCCUAUGAAAUGUGAUGAAGCAGAUAAUGAGGCUAAACAACUAACAAUAUUCAGUUAAGUAAUGUACAUUUAGAAGGUUAUAAUAGGGUCAUACUCACAUUGCUCCUAUAAAUAUAUUUAGCAUUUCAUUAUCUUAUAUUCUGGCUUAGCUUUUUAAUGCAAUAAAAACUGUGACAAACUA